This 473-nucleotide ribosomal RNA is filed under the name uncultured bacterium. RNAcentral describes it as "bacterial SSU rRNA". It matches the Rfam family "Bacterial small subunit ribosomal RNA", at positions 335 to 799 of the family's 1533-position model. The record is from RNAcentral.
ACUCCUACGGGAGGCAGCAGUGGGGAAUAUUGCACAAUGGGGGGAAAACCCUGAUGCAGCCAUGCCGCGUGUGUGAAGAAGGCCUCGGGUUGUAAAGCACUUCAGUAGGGAGGAAGGUAGUGUAGUUAACACCUGCACUAUUUGACGUUACCUACAGAAGAAGCACCGGCUAACUCCGUGCCAGCAGCCGCGGUAAUACGGAGGGUGCGAGCGUUAAUCGGAAUUACUGGGCGUAAAGCGCAUGCAGGCGGCCUGUUAAGUCAGAUGUGAAAGCCCGGGGGCUUAACCUCGGAAUUGCAUUUGAAACUGGCAGGCUAGAGUCUUGUAGAGGGGGGUAGAAUUUCAGGUGUAGCGGUGAAAUGCGUAGAGAUCUGAAGGAAUACCAGUGCGAAGGCGGCCCCCUGGACAAAGACUGACGCUCAGAUGCGAAAGCGUGGGGAGCAAACAGGAUUAGAUACCCUGGUAGCACAGAG